Molecule: ribosomal RNA, 254 nt
Filed under: uncultured bacterium
Lineage: Bacteria
Description: partial 16S ribosomal RNA
Rfam family: Bacterial small subunit ribosomal RNA
Source: RNAcentral
UACGGAGGGUGCAAGCGUUAUCCGGAUUCACUGGGUUUAAAGGGUGCGUAGGUGGGCAAGUAAGUCAGUGGUGAAAUCUCCGGGCUUAACCCGGAAACUGCCAUUGAUACUAUUUGUCUUGAAUACUGUGGAGGUCAGCGGAAUAUGUCAUGUAGCGGUGAAAUGCUUAGAUAUCAGGAAGAAUAUCCGUGGCGAAGGCGGCUCUCUGGUACGGCACUGACGCUGAGACGCGAAAGCGUGGGGAGCAAACAGGG